RNAcentral lists this ribosomal RNA (1524 nucleotides) under metagenome. RNAcentral's name for it is "bacterial SSU rRNA". It matches the Rfam family "Bacterial small subunit ribosomal RNA". The record is from RNAcentral.
AGAACGAACGCUGGCAGCGUGGAUUAGGCAUGCAAGUCGAACGAAAUCCGGGAUUGUUCAAGUAGCAAUACGAGGACGUUCCGGUGACAGUGGCGAAAGGGUGCGUAACGCGUGGGCAAUCUACCUCAAGUUGGGGAUAACCCGCCGAAAGGCGGACUAAUACCGAAUGUGGUUGUUCCCUGCAUGGGGAGCGGACUAAAAGUGGGGACCCGCAAGGGCCUGUUGCUUGGAGAGGAGCCCGCGUCCUAUCAGCUAGUUGGUGAGGUGACGGCUUACCAAGGCUAUGACGGGUAGCUGGUCUGAGAGGAUGGUCAGCCACACUGGGACUGAGACACUGCCCAGACUCCUACGGGAGGCUGCAGUCGAGGAUCAUUGGCAAUGCGCGAAAGCGUGACCAUGCGACGCUGCGUGGAGGAUGAAGGCCUUCGGGUCGUAAACUCCUGUCAUCCGGGAACAAUGGUCCCGUCGUGAAUAUCGGCGGGCAGGGCUAGUACCGGAGGAGGAAGCCACGGCUAACUCUGUGCCAGCAGCCGCGGUAAUACAGAGGUGGCGAGCGUUGUUCGGAUUUACUGGGCUUAAAGGGCGCGUAGGCGGUCUCGUAUGUCGGGUGUGAAAUCCCGCCGCUCAACGGCGGAACGCCAUUCGAAACUACGAGACUUGAGUGCAGGAGAGGAGAGCGGAAUUCUCGGUGUAGCGGUGAAAUGCGUUGAUAUCGAGAGGAACACCGGUGGCGAAGGCGGCUCUCUGGAAUGCAACUGACGCUGAGGCACGAGAGUUGGGGGAGCAAACAGGAUUAGAUACCCUGGUAGUCCCAACCGUAAACUGUGUACACUUGAUGUGGGGAGAUUUGACCCUCCCCGUGUCGGAGCGAAAGCGUUAAGUGUACCGCCUGGGGAGUACGGUCGCAAGAUUAAAACUCAAAGAAAUUGACGGGGGCCCGCACAAGCGGAGGAGCAUGUGGCUUAAUUCGAUGCAACGCGAAGAACCUUACCAGGGCUUGACAUGCAACUGCACGCCCCGUGAAAGCGGGGCUCCUUCGAGGGUGUUGCACAGGUGCUGCAUGGCUGUCGUCAGUUCGUGCCGUGAGGUGUUGGGUUAAGUCCCGCAACGAACGCAACCCCUGUGUCUAGUUGCUACCGGAGGUGAUGAGCCUUCGAGCACUCUAGACAGACUGCCCGUGAUAAGCGGGAGGAAGGUGGGGAUGACGUCAAGUCAGUAUGGCCUUUAUGCCCUGGGCUGCACACGUGCUACAAUGGCCGGUACAGAGAGAAGCGAGACCGCGAGGUGGAGCAAAUCUCCAAAAACCGGUCCCAGUUCAGAUUGAAGGCUGCAACUUGCCUUCAUGAAGUCGGAUUCGCUAGUAAUGGCGCAUCAGCUACGGCGCCGUGAAUACGUUCCCGGGCCUUGUACACACCGCCCGUCACAUCAUGAAAGCCGUCUGCACCCAAAGUCGCUGAUCCAUCCCGCAAGGGAGGUAGGUGCCUAAGGAGUGGGCGGUGAUUGGGAUGAAGUCGUAACAAGGUA